RNAcentral lists this ribosomal RNA (980 nucleotides) under biogas fermenter metagenome. RNAcentral's name for it is "bacterial LSU rRNA". It matches the Rfam family "Bacterial large subunit ribosomal RNA", at positions 1951 to 2925 of the family's 2925-position model. The record is from RNAcentral.
CUAAGGUAGCGAAAUUCCUUGUCGGGUAAGUUCCGACCUGCACGAAUGGCGUAAUGAUGGCCACACUGUCUCCUCCUGAGACUCAGCGAAGUUGAAAUGUUUGUGAUGAUGCAAUCUCCCCGCGGAAAGACGGAAAGACCCCAUGAACCUUUACUGUAGCUUUGUAUUGGACUUUGAACGGAUCUGUGUAGGAUAGGUGGGAGGCUUUGAAGCCAGGACGCUAGUUCUGGUGGAGCCGACGUUGAAAUACCACCCUGGUGCGUUUGAGGUUCUAACCUAGGUCCCUAAUCGGGAUCGGGGACAGUGCAUGGUAGGCAGUUUGACUGGGGCGGUCUCCUCCCAAAGCGUAACGGAGGAGUUCGAAGGUACGCUAGGUACGGUCGGACAUCGUGCUAAUAGUGCAAUGGCAUAAGCGUGCUUAACUGCGAGACUGACAAGUCGAGCAGAUGCGAAAGCAGGACAUAGUGAUCCGGUGGUUCUGUAUGGAAGGGCCAUCGCUCAACGGAUAAAAGGUACUCUGGGGAUAACAGGCUGAUACCGCCCAAGAGUUCAUAUCGACGGCGGUGUUUGGCACCUCGAUGUCGGCUCAUCUCAUCCUGGGGCUGUAGCCGGUCCCAAGGGUAUGGCUGUUCGCCAUUUAAAGAGGUACGUGAGCUGGGUUUAAAACGUCGUGAGACAGUUUUGUCCCUAUCUUCCGUGGGCGCUGCAGAUUUGAGGAAGCCUGCUCCUAGUACGAGAGGACCGGAGUGGACACACCUCUGGUGUACCUGUUGUCACGCCAGUGGCAUCGCAGGGUAGCUACGUGUGGAAGAGAUAACCGCUGAAAGCAUCUAAGCGGGAAACUCGUUUCAAGAUGAGAUCUGCCGGGGCCUUCGAGCCCCCUGAAGGGUCGUUGUAGACCACGACGUUGAUAGGCUGGGUGUGGAAGCGCAGCAAUGCGUUAAGCUAACCAGUACUAAUUGCCCGUGCGGCUUGACCCU